Molecule: transfer RNA, 86 nt
Filed under: Trachymyrmex cornetzi
Lineage: Eukaryota; Metazoa; Arthropoda; Insecta; Hymenoptera; Formicidae
Rfam family: tRNA
About the family: Transfer RNA (tRNA) molecules are approximately 80 nucleotides in length. Their secondary structure includes four short double-helical elements and three loops (D, anti-codon, and T loops).
Source: Rfam by way of RNAcentral
CCUUCGAUAGCUCAGUUGGUAGAGCGGUGGACUGUAGUCGUUGUGUGGGAAUCCAUAGGUCGCUGGUUCGAAUCCGGCUCGAAGGA